Molecule: long non-coding RNA, 222 nt
Filed under: Helianthus annuus (common sunflower)
Lineage: Eukaryota; Viridiplantae; Streptophyta; Magnoliopsida; Asterales; Asteraceae
Description: hypothetical non coding rna
Source: RNAcentral
CACGGACAAAUGGUCAAUUAGACUAAAUGGGUCAAAUGGUGUGGAUAACACCAUUUGGCAAUAACAAUUGACAAUCGCUUGUUGAGUUUUGUGAUUUCAGGAAAUAACAUGUGUUGCGUUGCUUUAAUUAGAAAAUUUAAAGCAAGAAGUAUGUAAACGGGUCAAUACUAUGAUCCGAGCCAGGUGAAGAUGGGAUAAGCGGUUUGAAAGAUACGAAAGUUU